UUAAGCGACUAAGCGUACACGGUGGAUGCCCUGGCAGUCAGAGGCGAUGAAGGACGUGCUAAUCUGCGAUAAGCGUCGGUAAGGUGAUAUGAACCGUUAUAACCGGCGAUUUCCGAAUGGGGAAACCCAGUGUGAUUCGUCACACUAUCAUUAACUGAAUCCAUAGGUUAAUGAGGCGAACCGGGGGAACUGAAACAUCUAAGUACCCCGAGGAAAAGAAAUCAACCGAGAUUCCCCCAGUAGCGGCGAGCGAACGGGGAGCAGCCCAGAGCCUGAAUCAGUGUGUGUGUUAGUGGAAGCGUCUGGAAAGGCGCGCGAUACAGGGUGACAGCCCCGUACACAAAAAUGCACAUGCUGUGAGCUCGAUGAGUAGGGCGGGACACGUGGUAUCCUGUCUGAAUAUGGGGGGACCAUCCUCCAAGGCUAAAUACUCCUGACUGACCGAUAGUGAACCAGUACCGUGAGGGAAAGGCGAAAAGAACCCCGGCGAGGGGAGUGAAAAAGAACCUGAAACCGUGUACGUACAAGCAGUGGGAGCACGCUUAGGCGUGUGACUGCGUACCUUUUGUAUAAUGGGUCAGCGACUUAUAUUCUGUAGCAAGGUUAACCGAAUAGGGGAGCCGAAGGGAAACCGAGUCUUAACUGGGCGUUAAGUUGCAGGGUAUAGACCCGAAACCCGGUGAUCUAACCAUGGGCAGGUUGAAGGUUGGGUAACACUAACUGGAGGACCGAACCGACUAAUGUUGAAAAAUUAGCGGAUGACUUGUGGCUGGGGGUGAAAGGCCAAUCAAACCGGGAGAUAGCUGGUUCUCCCCGAAAGCUAUUUAGGUAGCGCCUCGUGAAUUCAUCUCCGGGGGUAGAGCACUGUUUCGGCAAGGGGGUCAUCCCGACUUACCAACCCGAUGCAAACUGCGAAUACCGGAGAAUGUUAUCACGGGAGACACACGGCGGGUGCUAACGUCCGUCGUGAAGAGGGAAACAACCCAGACCGCCAGCUAAGGUCCCAAAGUCAUGGUUAAGUGGGAAACGAUGUGGGAAGGCCCAGACAGCCAGGAUGUUGGCUUAGAAGCAGCCAUCAUUUAAGAAAGUGUAAUAGCUCACUGGUCGAGUCGGCCUGCGCGGAAGAUGUAACGGGGCUAAACCAUGCACCGAAGCUGCGGCAGCGACGCUUAUGCGUUGUUGGGUAGGGGAGCGUUCUGUAAGCCUGUGAAGGUGUGCUGUGAGGCAUGCUGGAGGUAUCAGAAGUGCGAAUGCUGACAUAAGUAACGAUAAAGCGGGUGAAAAGCCCGCUCGCCGGAAGACCAAGGGUUCCUGUCCAACGUUAAUCGGGGCAGGGUGAGUCGACCCCUAAGGCGAGGCCGAAAGGCGUAGUCGAUGGGAAACAGGUUAAUAUUCCUGUACUUGGUGUUACUGCGAAGGGGGGACGGAGAAGGCUAUGUUGGCCGGGCGACGGUUGUCCCGGUUUAAGCGUGUAGGCUGGUUUUCCAGGCAAAUCCGGAAAAUCAAGGCUGAGGCGUGAUGACGAGGCACUACGGUGCUGAAGCAACAAAUGCCCUGCUUCCAGGAAAAGCCUCUAAGCAUCAGGUAACAUCAAAUCGUACCCCAAACCGACACAGGUGGUCAGGUAGAGAAUACCAAGGCGCUUGAGAGAACUCGGGUGAAGGAACUAGGCAAAAUGGUGCCGUAACUUCGGGAGAAGGCACGCUGAUAUGUAGGUGAAGUCCCUCGCGGAUGGAGCUGAAAUCAGUCGAAGAUACCAGCUGGCUGCAACUGUUUAUUAAAAACACAGCACUGUGCAAACACGAAAGUGGACGUAUACGGUGUGACGCCUGCCCGGUGCCGGAAGGUUAAUUGAUGGGGUCAGCGCAAGCGAAGCUCUUGAUCGAAGCCCCGGUAAACGGCGGCCGUAACUAUAACGGUCCUAAGGUAGCGAAAUUCCUUGUCGGGUAAGUUCCGACCUGCACGAAUGGCGUAAUGAUGGCCAGGCUGUCUCCACCCGAGACUCAGUGAAAUUGAACUCGCUGUGAAGAUGCAGUGUACCCGCGGCAAGACGGAAAGACCCCGUGAACCUUUACUAUAGCUUGACACUGAACAUUGAGCCUUGAUGUGUAGGAUAGGUGGGAGGCUUAGAAGUGUGGACGCCAGUCUGCAUGGAGCCGACCUUGAAAUACCACCCUUUAAUGUUUGAUGUUCUAACGUUGACCCGUAAUCCGGGUUGCGGACAGUGUCUGGUGGGUAGUUUGACUGGGGCGGUCUCCUCCUAAAGAGUAACGGAGGAGCACGAAGGUUGGCUAAUCCUGGUCGGACAUCAGGAGGUUAGUGCAAUGGCAUAAGCCAGCUUGACUGCGAGCGUGACGGCGCGAGCAGGUGCGAAAGCAGGUCAUAGUGAUCCGGUGGUUCUGAAUGGAAGGGCCAUCGCUCAACGGAUAAAAGGUACUCCGGGGAUAACAGGCUGAUACCGCCCAAGAGUUCAUAUCGACGGCGGUGUUUGGCACCUCGAUGUCGGCUCAUCACAUCCCGGGGCUGAAGUAGGUCCCAAGGGUAUGGCUGUUCGCCAUUUAAAGUGGUACGCGAGCUGGGUUUAGAACGUCGUGAGACAGUUCGGUCCCUAUCUGCCGUGGGCGCUGGAGAACUGAGGGGGGCUGCUCCUAGUACGAGAGGACCGGAGUGGACGCAUCACUGGUGUUCGGGUUGUCAUGCCAAUGGCACUGCCCGGUAGCUAAAUGCGGAAGAGAUAAGUGCUGAAAGCAUCUAAGCACGAAACUUGCCCCGAGAUGAGUUCUCCCUGACUCCUUGAGAGUCCUGAAGGAACGUUGAAGACGACGACGUUGAUAGGCCGGGUGUGUAAGCGCAGCGAUGCGUUGAGCUAACCGGUACUAAUGAACCGUGAGGCUUAACCUU
Molecule: ribosomal RNA, 2901 nt
Filed under: Escherichia coli ThroopD
Lineage: Bacteria; Pseudomonadati; Pseudomonadota; Gammaproteobacteria; Enterobacterales; Enterobacteriaceae
Description: bacterial LSU rRNA
Rfam family: Bacterial large subunit ribosomal RNA
Source: RNAcentral